This 305-nucleotide ribosomal RNA is filed under the name uncultured bacterium. RNAcentral describes it as "partial 16S ribosomal RNA". It matches the Rfam family "Bacterial small subunit ribosomal RNA", at positions 505 to 807 of the family's 1533-position model. The record is from RNAcentral.
ACAGCAGUCGCCACGGGAAUACGUAGGGUGCGAGCGUUGUCCGGAAUUAUUGGGCGUAAAGAGCUUGUAGGCGGUUUGUCGCGUCUGCUGUGAAAAUUCAGGGCUUAACCCUGGACGUGCAGUGGGUACGGGCAGACUAGAGUGUGGUAGGGGAGACUGGAAUUCCUGGUGUAGCGGUGGAAUGCGCAGAUAUCAGGAGGAACACCGAUGGCGAAGGCAGGUCUCUGGGCCAUUACUGACGCUGAGAAGCGAAAGCAUGGGGAGCGAACAGGAUUAGAUACCCCCGUAGUCCCUGUCUCUUAUAC